GAUGAACGCUGGCGGCGUGCUUAACACAUGCAAGUCGAACGGAAAGGCCCAAUCUUGCUUGGGUCCUCGAGUGGCGAACGGGUGAGUAACACGUGGGUGAUCUGCCCUGCACUUCGGGAUAAGCCUUUUAAACUGGGUCUAAUAUCGGAUAUGACCACUUCUUGGAUGUUGUGUUGGAAAGUUUUUUCGGUGUGGGUUAAGCUCGCGUCCUAUCAGCUUGUUUUUGGGGUAAUGGCCUACCAAGGCUCCGCCGGGUAGCCGGACUGAGAGGGUGUACGGCGACAUAGAGACUGAGAGAAGGCAGAGGCACCUACGGGAGGCAGAAGUGGGGAAUAUUGAACAAUGAGCGCAAGGCUGAUGCAGCGAGGCCGCGUGGGGGAUGACGGCGUUCGGGGUGUAGAAUACUGGCGCGAGGGAAGAAGCGAUUAUGUGACGGUACCUGGAGAAGAAGCAACGGCUAACUACGUG
Molecule: ribosomal RNA, 468 nt
Filed under: uncultured bacterium
Lineage: Bacteria
Description: partial 16S ribosomal RNA
Rfam family: Bacterial small subunit ribosomal RNA
Source: RNAcentral